CGGCGUGCCUAACACAUGCAAGUCGAACGAAUCCCUUUUACGGAUUUCCUUCGGGGAUGAAAGGUUUAUGACUGAGUGGCGGACGGGUGAUUAACGCGUGGGCAACCUGCCCCGUACCGGGGGACAACAGCCGGAAACGGCUGCUAAUACCGUAUACCUUUUAAGGACCGCAUGGUCCGUAAAACAAAACUCCGGUGGUACGGGAUGGGCCCGCUUCUGAUUAUCUCGUUGGCGGGGUAACGGCCCACCAAGGCGACGAUCAGUAGCCGGCCUGAGAGGGCGGCCGGCCACAUUGGGACUGACACACGGCCCACACUCCUGCGGGAGGCAACUGUGGGGAAUAUUGCACCGUGGGGGAAACCCUGAUGCAGCGACGCCGCGUGAGCGAAGAACUACCUCGGUAUGUAAAGCUCUGUCACCGGGAAAGAAAAUGACAGUACCUGACCAAGAAGCCCCGGCUAACUACGUGCCAGCAGCCGCGGUAAUACGUAGGGGGCAAGCGUUCUCCGGAUUCACUGGGCUUAAAGGGAGCGCAGGCGGCACGCCAAGUCUGAUGUGAAAACCCGGGGCUCAACCCCGGGAUUCCUUUGGAAAUUGCCGGGUUGGAUUCUCGGGGGGUUAGGCGGAUUUCUUGUUGUAGCGUUGAAAUGCUUGGUUUUCAGGAGGACCCCCGUUGGGGAGGGCGGCUUCCUGGACGUCAAUUACGGUUGAGGCUGGAAGGCUUGGGGACCAACCAAGAUUGGUUCCCUUGUUGUUCCCCCCCUUAAAGAUUAAUAAAAAGUUUUGGGGCGCCAAACCGCUCCGGUGCCGCAGCAAACGCAGUAAGUAUUCCGCCUGGGGAGUACGUUCGCAAGAAUGAAACUCAAAGGAAUUGACGGGGACCCGCACAAGCGGUGGAGCAUGUGGUUUAAUUUGAAGCAACGCGAAGAACCUUACCAGGCCUUGACAUCCCGGUGACAGAACAUGUAAUGUGUUUUUCCUUCGGGGCGCCGGUGACAGGUGGUGCAUGGUUGUCGUCAGCUCGUGUCGUGAGAUGUUGGGUUAAGUCCCGCAACGAGCGCAACCCCUGUUCCCAGUAGCCAGCGGGAGAGCCGGGCACUCUGGGGAGACUGCCGGGGACAACCCGGAGGAAGGCGGGGAUGACGUCAAAUCAUCAUGCCCCUUAUGGCCUGGGCUACACACGUGCUACAAUGGCGCAGACAGAGGGAGGCGAGCCCGCGAGGGGGAGCAAAUCCCAGAAAAGGCGUCCCAGUUCGGAUUGCAGCCUGCAACCCGGCUGCAUGAAGCCGGAAUCGCUAGUAAUCGCGGAUCAGAAUGCCGCGGUGAAUACGUUCCCGGG
RNAcentral lists this ribosomal RNA (1339 nucleotides) under uncultured bacterium. RNAcentral's name for it is "partial 16S ribosomal RNA". It matches the Rfam family "Bacterial small subunit ribosomal RNA", at positions 40 to 1378 of the family's 1533-position model. The record is from RNAcentral.